CCUACGGGAGGCAGCAGUGAGGAAUAUUGGACAAUGGGCGCAAGCCUGAUCCAGCCAUGCCGCGUGCAGGAAGAAGCAUCUAUGGUGUGUAAACUGCUUUUGUACAGGAAGAAACACUCCCUCGUGAGGGAGCUUGACGGUACUGUAAGAAUAAGGACCGGCUAACUCCGUGCCAGCAGCCGCGGUAAUACGGAGGGUCCGAGCGUUAUCCGGAAUCAUUGGGUUUAAAGGGUCCGUAGGCGGUUUAAUAAGUCAGUGGUGAAAUCUGGUCGCUCAACGAUCAAACGGCCAUUGAUACUGUUAGACUUGAAUUAUAAGGAAGUAACUAGAAUAUGUAGUGUAGCGGUGAAAUGCUUGGAUAUUACAUGGAAUACCAAUUGCGAAGGCAGGUUACUACUUAUGGAUUGACGCUGAUGGACGAAAGCGUGGGGAGCGAACAGGAUUAGAUACCCUGGUAGUCCACGCCGUAAACGAUGGAUACUAGCUGUUCGGAGCAAUCUGAGUGNGUAGAGAAGUAGAUAAGUAUACCACCGUACGGGAGGUACGUUCGUCGAAGAAGUAGAAACGUUAAAAGUUAAGUAAAGUUAGUACGGACGUGAGACGUGACCGAACGGACGACGACGAGGGAGGAGG
This 633-nucleotide ribosomal RNA is filed under the name uncultured bacterium. RNAcentral describes it as "bacterial SSU rRNA". The stretch from base 1 to 532 matches the Rfam family "Bacterial small subunit ribosomal RNA", at positions 338 to 873 of the family's 1533-position model. The record is from RNAcentral.